RNAcentral lists this transfer RNA (71 nucleotides) under Bathyanthias cubensis. RNAcentral's name for it is "tRNA-Asp". It matches the Rfam family "tRNA". From Rfam's summary of the family: Transfer RNA (tRNA) molecules are approximately 80 nucleotides in length. Their secondary structure includes four short double-helical elements and three loops (D, anti-codon, and T loops). The record is from RNAcentral. Lineage: Eukaryota; Metazoa; Chordata; Actinopteri; Perciformes; Serranidae.
AAGACACUAGUAAAAACCAAUUACAUUGCCUUGUCAAGGCUAAAUUGUGGGUUGAAACCCCGCGUGUCUUG